RNAcentral lists this ribosomal RNA (497 nucleotides) under uncultured bacterium. Its description in RNAcentral is "partial 16S ribosomal RNA". It matches the Rfam family "Bacterial small subunit ribosomal RNA", at positions 28 to 507 of the family's 1533-position model. The record is from RNAcentral.
GACGAACGCUGGCGGCGUGCCUAAUACAUGCAAGUUGAGCGAUGAAGAUUGGUGCUUGCACCAAUUUGAAGAGCAGCGAACGGGUGAGUAACGCGUGGGGAAUCUGCCUUUGAGCGGGGGACAACAUUUGGAAACGAAUGCUAAUACCGCAUAACAACUUUAAACAUAAGUUUUAAGUUUGAAAGAUGCAAUUGCAUCACUCAAAGAUGAUCCCGCGUUGUAUUAGCUAGUUGGUGAGGUAAAGGCUCACCAAGGCGAUGAUACAUAGCCGACCUGAGAGGGUGAUCGGCCACAUUGGGACUGAGACACGGCCCAAACUCCUUCGGGAGGCAGCAGUAGGGAAUCUUCGGCAAUGGACGCAAGUCUGACCGAGCAACGCCGCGUGAGUGAAGAAUGUUUUCGGAUCGUAAAACUCUGUUGGUAGAGAAGAACGUUGGUGAGAGUGGAAAGCUCAUCAAGUGACGGUAACUACCCAGAAAGGGACGGCUAACUACGUG